RNAcentral lists this non-coding RNA (1248 nucleotides) under Drosophila virilis. Its description in RNAcentral is "Eukaryotic large subunit ribosomal RNA". It matches the Rfam family "Eukaryotic large subunit ribosomal RNA", at positions 2320 to 3399 of the family's 3401-position model. Lineage: Eukaryota; Metazoa; Arthropoda; Insecta; Diptera; Drosophilidae. The record is from Rfam by way of RNAcentral.
UAAACAAAUAUGUUUUGUUACGUCCCUAUCUACGAUCUAGCGAAACCACAGCCAAGGGAACGGGUUUGGAAUAAUUAGCGGGGAAAGAAGACCAUUUUGAUGUUGACUCUAAUCUGGCAGUGUAAGGAGACAUAAGAGGUGUAGAAUAAGUGGGAGAUAUUAGACUUCGGUUUGGUAUCGACAAUGAAAUACCACUACUCUUAUUGUUUCCUUACUUACUUGAUUAAAUGGAACGUGUAUCAUUUCCUACCCAUUAUACGGAUAUAAUUAUUAUGUCUUAUGGUAUUGGGUUUUGAUGCAAGCUUCUUGAUCAAAGAAUCACGAGUUUGUUAUAUAAUCGCAAACAAAUUCUUUAAUGAGAGAAUGCAUUUAUGUAUUAUUGAUUUAAAAAUUUGGUAUAACUCUAAUUACUCAGGUAUGAUCCAAUUCAAGGACAUUGCCAGGUAGGGAGUAUGACUGGGGCGGUACAUCUCUCAAAUAAUAACGGAGGUGUCCCAAGGCCAGCUCAGUGCGGACAGAAACCACACAUAGAGCAAAAGGGCAAAUGCUGACUUGAUCUCGGUGUUCAGUACACACAGGGACAGCAGAAGCUCGGCCUAUCGAUCCUUUUGGCUUAAAGAGUUUUUACCAAGAGGUGUCAGAAAAGUUACCAUAGGGAUAACUGGCUUGUGGCGGCCAAGCGUUCAUAGCGACGUCGCUUUUUGAUCCUUCGAUGUCGGCUCUUCCUAUCAUUGUGAAGCAAAAUUCACCAAGCGUUGGAUUGUUCACCCAUGCAAGGGAACGUGAGCUGGGUUUAGACCGUCGUGAGAAAGGUUAGUUUUACAGCAUUCCCGCGUAGUACGAGAGGAACCGCAGGUGCGGACCAAUGGCACAAUACUUGUUCGAGCGAACAGUGGUAUGACGCUACGUCCGUUGGAUUAUGCCUGAACGCCUCUAAGGUCGCAUCCGUGCUGGACUGCAAUGAUAAAUAAGGAGCAAUUUGCAUUGUAUGGCUUCUUAACCAUUAAAAGUUUUUAAUUUGUUUUAUUAACGACAAUGGAUGUGAUGCCAAUGUUAUUUAUAACAUAGUAUAUUAGGAGGAUCUUCGAUCACCUGAUGCCGCGCUAGUUAUAUUUUAAAACAUUAUUUAAUACAAUGUCAAAGCCUAGAAUCAAUAGUAAACGGCUUUUGUAACAGGCAAGGUGUUGUAAGUGGUUGAGCAGCUGCCAUACUGCGAUCCACUGAAGCUUGUCCUUUGCUUGAUGAUUC